RNAcentral lists this unclassified non-coding RNA (223 nucleotides) under uncultured fungus. RNAcentral's name for it is "sequence contains ITS1". Lineage: Eukaryota; Fungi. The record is from RNAcentral.
AUAUAAGGUUCUGUCGACGCCGUGAGGCGAAGACAAAGAUUUACAUUCAGAGACAUACAAAGGGGUGUAUAAGACAUAGGGACCUUUUUUUAACGGGCCCCUACAUUGGGUUCACAGGUGUAUGUGGAUUAAGGGCUCGGGCGUGCACAUUGCCCCGAGAGGCCAGCUACAACCCUCACCGGUAAUUUCAAUAAUGAUCCUUCCGCAGGUUCACCUACGGAAA